Molecule: ribosomal RNA, 292 nt
Filed under: uncultured bacterium
Lineage: Bacteria
Description: partial 16S ribosomal RNA
Rfam family: Bacterial small subunit ribosomal RNA
Source: RNAcentral
GUGCCAGCCGCCGCGGUAAUACGGAGGGUGCAAGCGUUAUCCGGAUUUACUGGGUUUAAAGGGUGCGUAGGUGGGUUUGUAAGUCAGCGGUGAAAUCUCCAGGCUUAACCUGGAAAUUGCCAUUGAUACUAUAGAUCUUGAAUUAUCUGGAGGUAAGCGGAAUAUGUCAUGUAGCGGUGAAAUGCUUAGAUAUGACAUAGAACACCAAUUGCGAAGGCAGCUUACUACGGGUACAUUGACACUGAGGCACGAAAGCGUGGGGAUCAAACAGGAUUAGAAACCCGCGUAGUCC